GUUGUAGAGCAACUUAACUGGUAGAGCAUUUGGCGCGUAACCAAAAGAUCCAAGUUCGAGUCCUGGUCUGGGCU
RNAcentral lists this transfer RNA (74 nucleotides) under Cotesia glomerata. RNAcentral describes it as "tRNA-Thr". The record is from RNAcentral. Lineage: Eukaryota; Metazoa; Arthropoda; Insecta; Hymenoptera; Braconidae.